RNAcentral lists this transfer RNA (76 nucleotides) under Zetaproteobacteria bacterium CG1_02_55_237. RNAcentral's name for it is "tRNA-Trp". It matches the Rfam family "tRNA". Rfam says of the family: Transfer RNA (tRNA) molecules are approximately 80 nucleotides in length. Their secondary structure includes four short double-helical elements and three loops (D, anti-codon, and T loops). RNAcentral also lists the same sequence under 6 other names. The record is from RNAcentral. Lineage: Bacteria; Pseudomonadati; Pseudomonadota; Candidatius Mariprofundia.
AGGCCAGUAGCUCAACUGGUAGAGCACCGGUCUCCAAAACCGGGGGUUGGGGGUUCGAGUCCCUCCUGGCCUGCCA